UACGGAGGAUGCAAGCGUUAUCCGGAUUUAUUGGGUUUAAAGGGAGCGCAGACGGGUCGUUAAGUCAGCUGUGAAAGUUUGGGGCUCAACCUUAAAAUUGCAGUUGAUACUGGCGUCCUUGAGUGCGGUUGAGGUGUGCGGAAUUCGUGGUGUAGCGGUGAAAUGCUUAGAUAUCACGAAGAACUCCGAUUGCGAAGGCAGCACACUAAGCCGUAACUGACGUUCAUGCUCGAAAGUGUGGGUAUCAAACAGG
Molecule: ribosomal RNA, 253 nt
Filed under: Phocaeicola plebeius DSM 17135
Lineage: Bacteria; Pseudomonadati; Bacteroidota; Bacteroidia; Bacteroidales; Bacteroidaceae
Also listed under: 1 other name
Description: partial 16S ribosomal RNA
Rfam family: Bacterial small subunit ribosomal RNA
Source: RNAcentral